Molecule: ribosomal RNA, 330 nt
Filed under: uncultured eukaryote
Lineage: Eukaryota
Description: partial 18S ribosomal RNA
Rfam family: Eukaryotic small subunit ribosomal RNA
Source: RNAcentral
CCCUUAGAUGUUCUGGGCCGCACGCGUGCUACACUGAUGCAUUCAACGGGUCUAAAACCUGGUCUGAUAGGGCUGGGUAAUCUUUUGAAAGUGCAUCGUGAUUGGGAUAGAUGAUUGCAAUUCUUCAUCUUCAACGAGGAAUGCCUAGUAAACGCAAGUCAUCAGCUUGCAUUGAUUACGUCCCUGCCCUUUGUACACACCGCCCGUCGCUCCUACCGAUUGAAUGAUCCGAUGAAUACCAUGGAUUGAGAGUACGAAUAGGUUCGCUUAUUUCUGCUGCUCGAGAAGUGGAGUAAAUCUUAUCAUUUAGAGGAAGGAGAAGUCGUAACA